GUGAACGCUGGCGGUAGGCCUAACACAUGCAAGUCGAACGGCAGCACAGUAAGAGCUUGCUCUUACGGGUGGCGAGUGGCGGACGGGUGAGGAACACAUCGGAAUCUACUUUUUCGUGGGGGAUAACGUAGGGAAACUUACGCUAAUACCGCAUACGACCUACGGGUGAAAGCAGGGGAUCUUCGGACCUUGCGCGAUUGAAUGAGCCGAUGUCGGAUUAGCUAGUUGGCGGGGUAAAGGCCCACCAAGGCGACGAUCCGUAGCUGGUCUGAGAGGAUGAUCGGCCACACUGGAACUGAGACACGGUCCAGACUCCUACGGGAGGCAGCAGUGGGGAAUAUUGGACAGUGGGCGCAAGCCUGAUCCAGCCAUACCGCGUGGGUGAAGAAGGCCUUCGGGUUGUAAAGCCCUUUUGUUGGGAAAGAAAAGCAGCAGGUUAAUACCCCGCUGUUCUGACGGUACCCAAAGAAUAAGCACCGGCUAACUUCGUG
RNAcentral lists this ribosomal RNA (491 nucleotides) under uncultured bacterium. RNAcentral describes it as "partial 16S ribosomal RNA". It matches the Rfam family "Bacterial small subunit ribosomal RNA", at positions 29 to 507 of the family's 1533-position model. The record is from RNAcentral.